This 549-nucleotide ribosomal RNA is filed under the name Echimys chrysurus (White-faced spiny tree-rat). RNAcentral's name for it is "partial 16S ribosomal RNA". It matches the Rfam family "Bacterial large subunit ribosomal RNA", at positions 1816 to 2597 of the family's 2925-position model. The record is from RNAcentral. Lineage: Eukaryota; Metazoa; Chordata; Mammalia; Rodentia; Echimyidae.
CACCUCUAGCAUUACAAGUAUUAGAGGCACUGCCUGCCCAGUGACAAUUAAGUUAAACGGCCGCGGUAUCCUGACCGUGCAAAGGUAGCAUAAUCACUUGUUCUUUAAAUAAGGACUUGUAUGAAUGGCUUGACGAGGGUUUAACUGUCUCUUACUUAUAGUCAGUGAAAUUGACCUCCCCGUGAAGAGGCGGGGAUAAAAAAAUAAGACGAGAAGACCCUAUGGAGCUUUAAUUUAUUAAUUCAUUUUUGCCUAUAAAAAUCAACAAGAAACAAAAAGAACAAAAUAUGAAUUAACAAUUUUGGUUGGGGUGACCUCGGAGCAAAUCAAAACCUCCGAAUGAUAUUAACCUAGAUCUACUAAUCAAAGUUUCUAUCAUAAAUUGACCCAGAAAAAUCUGAUCAACGGACCAAGUUACCCUAGGGAUAACAGCGCAAUCCUAUUACAGAGUUCAUAUCGACAAUAGGGUUUACGACCUCGAUGUUGGAUCAGGACACCCCAAUGGUGCAACCGCUAUUAAAGGUUCGUUUGUUCAACGAUUAAAGUCCU